AGCCUACACUGCCAUGGAUG
Molecule: unclassified non-coding RNA, 20 nt
Filed under: Mus musculus (house mouse)
Lineage: Eukaryota; Metazoa; Chordata; Mammalia; Rodentia; Muridae
Description: oocyte_clustered_small_RNA4113
Source: RNAcentral